Molecule: ribosomal RNA, 431 nt
Filed under: Xanthomonas axonopodis
Lineage: Bacteria; Pseudomonadati; Pseudomonadota; Gammaproteobacteria; Lysobacterales; Lysobacteraceae
Description: bacterial LSU rRNA
Rfam family: Bacterial large subunit ribosomal RNA
Source: RNAcentral
CAAGCGAAUAAGCGCACACGGUGGAUGCCUAGGCGGUCAGAGGCGAUGAAGGACGUGGUAGCCUGCGAAAAGUGUCGGGGAGCUGGCAACAAGCUUUGAUCCGGCAAUAUCCGAAUGGGGAAACCCACUGCUUCGGCAGUAUCCUGCAGUGAAUUCAUAGCUGCUGGAAGCGAACCCGGUGAACUGAAAUAUCUAAGUAACCGGAGGAAAAGAAAUCAACCGAGAUUCCCUAAGUAGUGACGAGCGAACGGGGAGCAGCCCUUAAGCUGGAAUGGCUUUAGAAAAACAAUCUGGAAAGAUUGGCCAUAGAAGGUGAUAGCCCUGUAUUUAAAAGGGCCACUCCAGUGAAGACGAGUAGGGCGGGGCACGUGAAACCCUGUCUGAAUAUGGGGGGACCAUCCUCCAAGGCUAAAUACUCUAACAACGCAUGC